GACACCAGACUGAUCCCUGCAGUAACAGAGCAGCACCAGUGGGUCCAACUGCACAGAACCAUGAAGUACCUGGGAAUCCUGCUGCUUCUUGUAUUCUCUGCAACUCUCAUCUCCGGGGAACAUCCUGAGGAAACAGGAUGGCGGCGUGAAUGUGAUCGCUGUGAGGAAUGCUGUGAGAUGGUGCGACGGUGUGAACAGUGUACAAGGCAGGAGUGCUGCGAAUGGAAUAGACGCGGCCAUAGAAAAUAGGCGACCGACUCAUAAUGGGACCCACCAUCAAUCAAUAACCAGAGGCCUUUGGUUGGUUCCUGUUGCGAGUCUGGGGCAGCAGAUUAUAUUAUACUGUAUGUUGUACCUUCUCCAUGUGCUGCAGAGAAUUCUCACAGACUGGAUACUGACAAAUCCCAAUAAAGUUCCCCUGAAUGUGCUAUAAACCCUCA
This is a long non-coding RNA of Xenopus tropicalis (tropical clawed frog), 440 nucleotides long. RefSeq lists it as uncharacterized. NCBI's taxonomy places the organism in Eukaryota, Metazoa, Chordata, Amphibia, Anura, Pipidae. The record is from RefSeq and is a predicted model, not a curated record. The transcript has 3 exons.